UUUGUCUCGCUCACACGCUCUCUGCUUAAUUAAAAUUCAUUUCACAACACUCCCCGAUUUGUUCAUCGCAUAUCUAAUGCUUUACGACACACGUCACUCUUCAGGUUUGAAUUGUACUUGCUAGUCAUUUUUGUUUUGCUGUUUAUCUCCGUUUGCAAGUGGACUUCUUACUGCAAAAGAUGACUACUUUUGAAUUUUAUAACGUCUUGGAAGAAUAUUUGUCGCCUGACAAUUUUAACUCCAUUCGAAUGAAGAGGGAGGGAAAUGAAAUGCGACGUGUGUCUGUGAACUUUAUAAUGGAUACGUACAGCUUUUUGAUGCCCGGUGGUAACCAGCCUUCCAACUGGCUGAACAGAUGUCAGUGUACCCGAAUUCUGAGACACAACUGGAUGUCCUUUUCUUCUGCUUUUAAGAUUUCCAAUUCAGGAUGAUGUGAAGUUCAUGUUAGAUUUGCUAUUUCUACAGUUACAGUGAAGUAGAAGAGUCCGGCCGUGUUAUGGGGCAGCAGUUAAAGAAGGAAGGCGAGAUGUGGGCCAUGUUGAAGUAGUGGGUGACCCUCCUGUCCACACUUCUAGAAUCCUCCUUCUCAACCUCUGGUCUGGAUCUGCUGUGCCUUUGCCAAGUGAUCAUAAGAUAUUGAACUAUUUUGUUUUUUUCUUCUUCUGAAAACUGUCUCAGUCUCAUUACACUGGCUGCCUGUCUCACAUAGAAUCGAUUUCAAGGUUCUAUUAAAUAAUUAGAAGGCUUUGAGUACUUUAGACCCUGCCUGUAUUUUCUUUUCUCAAACGUUGCUUUGCUUUUUAUUCCAAGAUCAACCAUAAAAACUGGCAGAUUUCUGUACUCUGGAAUGCUUCGCUAGUAGAGAAGUGCCAGGCUACAAAUGUCAAGCAUUUUGAAAAACUUCAACAAGCCCACUUUUCUAAUUUGUCUUUUUCUUAAUUACUUGCAUUGAUUAUAAUAGAUUAGAAAUGGUACUGUGUACACUUUGUAAGAUCUGCACUGGGCACUAACUUAUGCUGUGUUUCUCUGUUGUCUUUUUCUAGUUUAUUGCAAUGGUGCCCCCCUGCAUCUCCACCGUCUGUUACAUCAACUCAAACUGCCUGUUGUUGCCGGAGAGAAGAAAAGUUCACAAGACGUUCUGGAAUGGAAUUGUGACUGGACUGAGAUGGCCACAAUUAUGUAUGCCGGGAUGUGCAGAGGGGGCUGUGCAGGCUUUGGUUUGGGACCCCUAGAGGUUUAUUAUCUGUGGCAAUCUUGAAAGCUGCAAGUUUGUCUUUGUCCCCGGCCAUUUGACAAUUUGCUUCUUAUUUCCUUUUAUAAUACUUUCCAUUUUCUUUGUAACUGUAUAUUUUUAUAGAGCAACUUCAGCUACACUUGUAAGCAAAAGUGAUAGAGUAAAUGUUAAGGGACAGAUCAGGAAAAAUGUCAGUUUAAAUAGAACACAUUUUUUAUGGAAUAUUGCUGGAUAAUAACUCUGACUCUGAGCAGUAUCUUGUUCAUAAAGCUAAAGUAGCAUUUUUCCGUUUUUGACAAAUUUAAUGAUUCACUUUUACUGUGUUCAAAACCUUGGCUAACAUUUUUUUUUAAUACCAAGGUAAAAAUCUGUAAAUAUGUUUGUGUUCCCUUUCUCUAAUAGUUUUAACAUCUCCCCCUUGUUGGCCAUUUUCAUUGUAUUUGUGUUCUAGUUAAAUGCAUGUACCAUUUAUACAUCUUUAUGAUUACUGCAUUUUCUACUC
This is a long non-coding RNA of Erpetoichthys calabaricus (reedfish), 1736 nucleotides long. RefSeq lists it as uncharacterized. Lineage: Eukaryota; Metazoa; Chordata; Cladistia; Polypteriformes; Polypteridae. The record is from RefSeq and is a predicted model, not a curated record. The transcript is spliced from 3 exons.